RNAcentral lists this small RNA (125 nucleotides) under Marmota monax (woodchuck). Lineage: Eukaryota; Metazoa; Chordata; Mammalia; Rodentia; Sciuridae. The record is from RNAcentral.
GCUGGGCACGGUGGCGCAUACCUGUAAUCCCAGCAGAUUGGGAGGCUGAGACAGGAGGAUCACAAGUUCAAAGCCAGCCUCAGCAGCUGCAAGGCACUAAACAACUCAGUGAGACCUUGUCUCUA